CCUACGGGAGGCUGCAGUGGGGGAUAUUGCACAAUGGGGGGAACCCUGAUGCAGCGACGCCGCGUGGGUGAAGGAGCGUUUCGGCGCGUAAAGCCCUAUCGGCAGGGAAGAAGAUGACGGUACCUGACCAAGAAGCCCCGGCUAACUACGUGCCAGCAGCCGCGGUAACACGUAGGGGGCCAGCGUUAUCCGGAUUUACUGGGGGUAAAGGGGGCGGAGACGGCAAUGCAAGCCAGGAGUGAAAGCCCGGGGGCCAACCCCGGGACUGCUCUUGAAACUGCAUGGCUGGAGUACAGGAGGGGCAGGCGGAAUGCGUGGUGUAGCGGUGAAAUGCGUAGAUAUUAGGAGGAACACCGGUGGCGAAGGCAGCCUGCUGGACUGUGACUGACGUUGAGGCCCGAAGGCGUGGGGAGCGAACAGGAUUAGAUACCCUAGUAGUC
This 440-nucleotide ribosomal RNA is filed under the name uncultured bacterium. RNAcentral's name for it is "partial 16S ribosomal RNA". It matches the Rfam family "Bacterial small subunit ribosomal RNA", at positions 338 to 795 of the family's 1533-position model. The record is from RNAcentral.